Pyrus x bretschneideri (Chinese white pear) is the source of this 1162-nucleotide long non-coding RNA. RefSeq lists it as uncharacterized. The record is from RefSeq and is a predicted model, not a curated record. Lineage: Eukaryota; Viridiplantae; Streptophyta; Magnoliopsida; Rosales; Rosaceae. The transcript has 3 exons.
AUGGCGUCGCUUUAAAUAAAAUAGUGUCGCUUUUAAGCGACAUAAACUAUUAGUGUCGCUUCUAGGCGACACUAAUUCUUGUUUUUAAUAUUUUAAAUCUUGCGUCGGUUUUGAGCGACAUAUAUUUUGAAAACCAGUGUCGGUUGUAAGCGACACAUUGUUGCUCUUUAUACCCUCUCCCCCGUGUUUUCUUUUUCUUCUCUUGCACUUUUCUUAUUCGUUCUUCCAAUUUUUACAAAGUCUCCCGUGUUCCUCUUUCAGCUAUCUCCUUUGGUUUGCAAACUUCAUUUGUUCCUCUGUUCUCUCUUUCAGCUUUCUCCUUUGGUUUUCAAAAUUCAUUUGUUCCUCUUCACAACAGAAAGUUAUUGGAGUUGGUUGAGUACAUAAAGAAUUGUUGACGUCGAAAUUCUUCAACAAAUCAGGUGUUGAAAAUUAAAAGAUUGCAAUCGUGAUAGAGUUCGAGGGGUGAAAGAUAGAAAUUGAAAAUUUUGAUAGUUAUGCCUACAUGAUAGGGAUUGAAAGAUUGUAGGCAUCUUAGUGUCAACAUAAUAUUUUACCUUCGUAAAGUGGUAAAAUAUGGACAAGAGUUGGUUGACAAUACCCCGAAAUUUUGAAGCGUAUACAACUGGAAUUAAUUUGUUUUUGGAUCAAGCAGUUGCAAAUGGUGUUGGUCCUGAUAAGUUUAGAUGUCCUUGCAAAAGAUGUUGUAAUCGAUAUUCUUUUGUUAGGAACACCAUUGUUGAACAUCUCAUAUUGUAUGAUAUGGAUAAAGAUUAUAAAAACGCUUGUUGGCGACAUCAUGGCGAGCAAAACAUUGGAGAGCAAAAUGUGGGAAUUGGAGAAGAAGAAACAGGAGAUGAGGUGAUUGGCAUGCAUGAUUUUCUUAAUGAUGUAUUUGUCCAACCAUUAACAGAAGAAGGUGUUGGGCCAUCUACUGAACCCCCUAUUGGGGAAGGGCGUCCAGAAGAGGUGCAGACUUUUUUUAAGUUGCUUGAAGAGGCAGAUCAAGAUUUGUGGCCAGGUUGUAAGGAGUUUAAGAAAUUGGAAGCAGUUGUAAGAUUGUAUCAGAUCAAGUGUUUAGCGGGAAUGCCUGACGAGAUCUUCACCACUUUACUGGAGUUAAUUAAAAGAAUGUUGCCUGAAGGGGAUUGUUUGCCUGAAU